Coregonus clupeaformis (lake whitefish) is the source of this 1743-nucleotide long non-coding RNA. RefSeq lists it as uncharacterized. The record is from RefSeq and is a predicted model, not a curated record. Lineage: Eukaryota; Metazoa; Chordata; Actinopteri; Salmoniformes; Salmonidae. The transcript is spliced from 4 exons.
UGACAAGGAAUAUCUGCCCCCCCAACCUUCUGGACUGUGAUCAUGAGAUGUCUGAGGACAAUGGUGCCCACCCCAACCUUGCAGGCAAUGAGCAUCCCUCACCUUCCCAAGAUGCUGGUGCUGCUGCCAAUCUUGUAGGCUGUGAGGGAGAAGAGGUUGAAGUUGAGGAGGGAUGCAGGAAACCAACAGGAAUGCAUAUUAUAAUAUUAGAGAAAAUCCCAAGGCUGUCUUCAAAUGUAUAAAAAUUCAGAAUGCCUUUUCCCUACUAAAUAUGCAUAUUUAUUUGCAGGUACGCUCAUGAACUGAAAGAGAAGACUGCCCCUGGCGUUUAAGGGACGCUCUCUAAAUGGGUGAACAGUACCAUCAGUGAAAUGUAUGCCUUCCUAGUCACGAUGCUGCUGAUGGGGCUAGUGAAGAAGGGCUCUGUGAGGGACUACUGGACCACUGACCCCAUGCUGCAGAACCCUUUUUUCCCAACCAUUUUCUCCCCGGACCGCUUCCUUGACUUGCUGAGAGCGCUCCACUUUGUGAACAACACCACUGCCAACCUCACCGACCCCCUUCACAAAAUGUUGAAUUUCCUUGGCAGCUUGACCACGGCAUUUGGAAGAGUGUUUGUGCCUCACAAGGACUUGUGCAUUGAUGAGUCUCUCAUGGAGACAGUCAACAGUCAUCUAGAGUCUACAAAGUAGAGUGUGUGGCUGUGUAUGUGUGUGUGCUUUUGUGUGUGUAGUAUCUACGGUAUGUCUUUGUGCUUGUGUGCGUGUGUGCGUGCCUCUGUGUGUGUGUGUGUGUGUGUGUGUAUGUGUGUGUAUUUACAGUGCCUCUCUAAGCUGUUCACAAUGGCCUUCAACCAGGUCAAACACUUCAUGAGUGAAGAGACACACACCGUAAUAUCAUCAUUCUGGGAUCUAACUGGCAGGAGGUGUUGCGUAAGCAUAUUGACCCGGAGCAGCUCCUGGUGGCGUACGGAGGAACCCUGACCGAGACUCCUACCUAACACUGGAGUAUGGCAUCACCACCCCCAGCAGCGUCCUCAGGUGGCAGUUUUCCAGUGAUGGAGCAGUCAUUUGCUUUGGGGUGUUCAUGCGGACCCAGGAGGGGGGUGGGGAUCAGAAGGUGGGGGGGUACAUGCUGCAGGUGUUGCCUAGUGAACGCUACAACGCACACAUGGUCCCAGAGGACCGCUCACUCACCUGCCCCGAGCCUGGAACCUACAUACUGCGUUUUGACAACACCUACAGCUUACUGCAGUCUAAGAAGAUCAGCUACACUGUGGAUGUUCUACUGCCAGACGGACAUGUCCAGAGUCCUAGGAGUAACAGAGGGGAUGGACGUCUGGAGUGACACACACACACACACAACACACACACACGAAUAUGAGAUCUGGGAUACUGAAGAUAGUAAUGUAAUGCUGUUUAAACACCACUGUUCUCAGUUAUGGGCAUUGAUAUGACAAGUAACCCACAGUUAUAACUUUUCCUAUUUUCUGUUGACACAAAUAAUAAUUUGUGUAAGCAUUUCAUACAAGAGUCAGAAUUGAUUUGAGUUAGGACUAUAUGGCUUUGUUUUGUUGUAGCCUAUUGUGUGAAUGUAAUACCAAUUUUCAGCACAGAAAAUACACUUUCCCGGUACUUUCUCAGUGUGUUUAGUGACUUCUGUGUUAUUUAGGCUUUAUUAGACCAAUGUAAAAAGACAAAUUGUGCAAAUAGGGAUAUAAUUAAGCAAUAACGCCCGAGGGGG